GACGAACGCUGGCGGCGUGCCUAAUACAUGCAAGUCGAGCGGACUUAAAAAGCUUGCUUUUUAAGUUAGCGGCGGACGGGUGAGUAACACGUGGGCAACCUGCCUGUAAGACUGGGAUAACUUCGGGAAACCGGAGCUAAUACCGGAUAAUCCUUUUCUACUCAUGUAGAAAAGCUGAAAGACGGUUUACGCUGUCACUUACAGAUGGGCCCGCGGCGCAUUAGCUAGUUGGUGAGGUAACGGCUCACCAAGGCGACGAUGCGUAGCCGACCUGAGAGGGUGAUCGGCCACACUGGGACUGAGACACGGCCCAGACUCCUACGGGAGGCAGCAGUAGGGAAUCUUCCGCAAUGGACGAAAGUCUGACGGAGCAACGCCGCGUGAAUGAUGAAGGUUUUCGGAUCGUAAAACUCUGUUGUUAGGGAAGAACAAGUACGAGAGUAACUGCUCGUACCUUGACGGUACCUAACCAGAAAGCCACGGCUAACUACGUG
This 494-nucleotide ribosomal RNA is filed under the name uncultured bacterium. RNAcentral describes it as "partial 16S ribosomal RNA". It matches the Rfam family "Bacterial small subunit ribosomal RNA", at positions 28 to 507 of the family's 1533-position model. The record is from RNAcentral.